RNAcentral lists this small RNA (127 nucleotides) under Marmota monax (woodchuck). The record is from RNAcentral. Lineage: Eukaryota; Metazoa; Chordata; Mammalia; Rodentia; Sciuridae.
GCUCGGCGUGGUAGUGCACGCCUGUAAUCCCAGUGACCUGGGAGGCUGAGGCAGGAGGAUUAUGAGUUCAAAGCCAGCCUCAGCCACUUAGCAAGGCUCUAAGCAACUCAUUGAGACCCUGUCUCUA